AGAGUUUGAUCAUGGCUCAGAACGAACGCUGGCGGCGUGCCUAAUACAUGCAAGUCGAACGAGAAAGUGGCUUCGGUCAUGAGUAAAGUGGCAGACGGGUGAGUAAUACAUAGGUAAUCUACCUCCGAGAUGGGGACAACCUUCCGAAAGGAGGGCUAAUACCGAAUGAGACCACGGUUGCUUCGGCAGCUGAGGUCAAAGGUGACCUCUACUUGUAAGUUAUCGCUCGGAGAUGAGCUUAUGCACCAUCAGCUAGUUGGUAGGGUAAUGGCCUACCAAGGCUUUGACGGUUAGCUGAUCUGAGAGGUUGAUCAGCCACACUGGAACUGAGACACGGUCCAGACUCCUACGGGAGGCAGCAGUAGGGAAUAUUGCGCAAUGGAGGAAACUCUGACGCAGCGACGCCGCGUGGGUGACGAAGGCUUUCGGGUCGUAAAGCCCUGUCGAGAGGGAAGAAAAACAUAUUGGCUAAUAUCCAAUGUGCUUGACGGUACCUCUAAAGGAAGCACCGGCUAACUACGUGCCAGCAGCCGCGGUAAUACGUAGGGUGCAAGCGUUGUUCGGAAUCAUUGGGCGUAAAGCGCGUGUAGGCUGUUAGGUAAGUCGAUUGUGAAAUCCCUGGGCUCAACCGAGGAAGUGCAGUCGAAACUACCUAGCUAGAAGACGGUAGAGGAAGGUGGAAUUCCUAGUGUAGAGGUGAAAUUCGUAGAUAUUAGGAGGAAUACCGGUGGCGAAGGCGGCCUUCUGGACCGAUUUUGACGCUGAGACGCGAAAGCGUGGGGAGCAAACAGGAUUAGAUACCCUAGUAGUCC
RNAcentral lists this ribosomal RNA (812 nucleotides) under uncultured bacterium. RNAcentral describes it as "bacterial SSU rRNA". It matches the Rfam family "Bacterial small subunit ribosomal RNA", at positions 8 to 796 of the family's 1533-position model. The record is from RNAcentral.